GCCGGUUUAGCUCAGCUGGUAGAGCAGCGGUUUUGUAAACCGAAGGUCGCGGGUUCGAUUCCUGCAACCGGCACCG
This 76-nucleotide transfer RNA is filed under the name Citromicrobium sp. JL31. RNAcentral describes it as "tRNA-Thr". It matches the Rfam family "tRNA". From Rfam's summary of the family: Transfer RNA (tRNA) molecules are approximately 80 nucleotides in length. Lineage: Bacteria; Pseudomonadati; Pseudomonadota; Alphaproteobacteria; Sphingomonadales; Sphingomonadaceae. The record is from RNAcentral. RNAcentral also lists the same sequence under 2 other names.